Molecule: ribosomal RNA, 484 nt
Filed under: uncultured bacterium
Lineage: Bacteria
Description: partial 16S ribosomal RNA
Rfam family: Bacterial small subunit ribosomal RNA
Source: RNAcentral
AUUGAACGCUGGCGGCAUGCUUUACACAUGCAAGUCGAACGGCAGCGCGGGCUUCGGCCUGGCGGCGAGUGGCGAACGGGUGAGUAAUGCAUCGGAACGUGCCCAGUAGUGGGGGCUAGCCCGGCGAAAGACGGAUUAAUAACGCAUCCGACUUGAGGGUGAAAGCGGGGGGCCGAAAGGCCUGGCGUUUUUGGAGCGGCCGAUGUUGGGUUCGCUAGUUGGUGGGGUAAAGGCUUAGCAAGCCAAGGAUCCGUAGGUGGUCUGAGAGGACGACCCGCCACACUGCGACUGUGACACGGCCCAGACUCCAACGGGAGGCAGCAGUGGGGAAUUUUGGACAAUGGGGGCAACCCUGAUCCAGCCAUGCCGCGUGCGGGAAGAAGGCCUUCGGGUUGUAAACCGCUUUUGUUCGGGAAGAAAUCCUCUGGGCUAAUACCCCGGGGGGAUGACGGUACCGGAAGAAUAAGCACCGGCUAACUACGUG